UGGGGAAUAUUGGGCAAUGGAGGGAACUCUGACCCAGCAACGCCGCGUGAGUGAAGAAGGUUUUCGGAUUGUAAAACUCUUUAAGCGGGGACGAAGAAAGUGACUGUACCCGCAGAAUAAGCAUCGGCUAACUACGUGCCAGCAGCCGCGGUAAUACGUAGGAUGCAAGCGUUAUCCGGAAUGACUGGGCGUAAAGGGUGCGUAGGUGGUUUGCCAAGUUGGCAGCGUAAUUCCGUGGCUUAACCGCGGAACUACUGCCAAAACUGGUAGGCUUGAGUGCGGCAGGGGUAUGUGGAAUUCCUAGUGUAGCGGUGGAAUGCGUAGAUAUUAGGAGGAACACCGGUGGCGAAAGCGACAUACUGGGCCGUAACUGACACUGAGGCACGAAAGCGUGGGGAGCAAACAGG
RNAcentral lists this ribosomal RNA (407 nucleotides) under uncultured Eubacteriales bacterium. RNAcentral describes it as "bacterial SSU rRNA". It matches the Rfam family "Bacterial small subunit ribosomal RNA", at positions 355 to 776 of the family's 1533-position model. The record is from RNAcentral. Lineage: Bacteria; Bacillati; Bacillota; Clostridia; Eubacteriales.